CUCAAUAUAAACAUAACUCUAAAAACGUUUUUCCCCAAAUUAAAAUGCUCUCCUAGUUACUCUUUGCCUAUAUCACUACUCAAAAAUUAAACCCUACUUUCUCUCCUUCUCAUUUCCACCCCAAAAAGUCUCCAUUGUAACUUUGUCGAUGUUUGGUUGUGAUUUCCUUAAUCGUGCUUCACCUUUAUGGGAGAGACUAAAGAAAUAAUUCGAAGAAUUCCAGAUCUGGAGGAAUCGAAGAAUCUACAAGAACUCAGGUAAAAGCUUCUCUUUGUCCCAAUUUAGAGAGCUCUGGUAGGAGCAACUCUUCCCAGAUCAAUCUAAGAAAAGAGUGCCCAAAUCACAUACGGAGGUUCAGUGAAGUUUCUGCUCACAAUUUUCUCUUCGGUUUCUGCUCAUACUUAUGCCGUUGGAUAGAACAAUCCAUUUCUAUGUUAAUUGCUCGUAAUAUUUUGAAAAAUAUUUAGACACUUUUAUGGUUCAGUUUUGGUUGCUAAUGUGUUUGAGAUGAAUAUUUGUUCAUUUCGUUUUUCUUACAGUACCCGACUAUAUUGUCUUAUGGUCCUCCUUGAAUGGGAAGAUGACGACCCUUUAGGGUUCUUUUUUGUACCCACUUCUCAGUGGUUAUCAUUGCCCACCAUUUAAGAUCAAAAUCCUUGAUAAAGUAGAUUCAAUGACUCAUGAUGCUCGAGUUUGGUUGAGAUCAUGUGGCAUGGCAUCAUUUUACAUCUCUUUCGAUGUGAAUAUUUCUAGAGAUCUCCACGAGCCUGCUCUCGUAAUUGGGGGAUGCUUUGUCUUGGUAGCAUUGAUCCUAUCGCUUCUCUUAAUUUUUCAGCAUCUCAGAUAAUAUACUAGUCUGGUGGGGUGAGCGACAGGUUGUUGAACUGCUCGAAGAUGAAUCGAGGAAACAAAUCAGCCAGUCAUUGCAGUGCCAACACUUCAACACAUAUAUUCUUAUGUUUGGAAUGCACUGCCUUCAAGAUGGAUUAGCUUUGCAAGUGAUUCUUUGUUUCUUUUAGAUGUCUCCUGUCUUUAAAAUGCUAAAAUUUAUAAAGAGUUGUCUUCCAGUAGUCCAUUUAUGCCUAAAGAGUUGUAUCUGCAAUGCAACCUGGUAUGGGUUAUGUGCAGGAGGGGUCUCUGUUGUUGUGUGUCAAAAAGUGAUGGGAAUGGAAACAAGUUAAGGACUAUUGCUUCAGCCAUUAGAGCAGCACUGCUUUCUUCAGAUGCUUAGGGAUUUUUCAUUGGAGAUUUAUGUCAAGAGAGCUUCAGUUUAUGGAAAAUGUCGGUAAUUUAAUUUGAAUUGCAUGUAGCCAAAAGUAAACUUGAUCUAUUGUAGUGAACGAUGAAAGAGUUUUUGUACUAUUGUCAUAUACAUUUGAAUGCAUUUGGUUUUUUUGGAAUUUAUUGAUAGUAGAGAUAUUUAAGCAAUCACUUUCUAAGUAUUGGUUGUACAAGACAUGUUUCUCGAAGUUUAUUUGAAAUAUAUAGCUUCGAUUUAAUUAUUA
Molecule: RNA transcript, 1505 nt
Organism: Solanum tuberosum (potato)
Lineage: Eukaryota; Viridiplantae; Streptophyta; Magnoliopsida; Solanales; Solanaceae
Exons: 6
Source: RefSeq, a predicted model, not a curated record